Molecule: long non-coding RNA, 269 nt
Filed under: Lactuca sativa (garden lettuce)
Lineage: Eukaryota; Viridiplantae; Streptophyta; Magnoliopsida; Asterales; Asteraceae
Description: long non-coding RNA (LSAT_LNC007847)
Source: RNAcentral
CAUCAAAGUUGUCUAGACGAUUGAUGUAGUCCAUGACGCGUGAUGGAUCGGCUUUAAUGGCUGUUAAGAUGAGAAGGUUUUGAAGGUUGAAGUUUCCACUGAAAGCAGAGUUUUGAAGAACGAUUUUCUCGAGUAGCUCGAUUAGCUCGUGGGGGAGAUCGGCUGUCAUGAAAGCUUUCACAGCUGCUGACACUUGCUCGGGGCUUUUGCUUUCAGGUAAGGCUGUAGAGACAACUUGAUCGAUGAGCUGGCGUCUGUAUUCGUUCUCA